AGUCGAGCGGACAGAAGGGAGCUUGCUCCCGGAUGUUAGCGGCGGACGGGUGAGUAACACGUGGGUAACCUGCCUGUAAGACUGGGAUAACUCCGGGAAACCGGAGCUAAUACCGGAUAGUUCCUUGAACCGCAUGGUUCAAGGAUGAAAGACGGUUUCGGCUGUCACUUACAGAUGGACCCGCGGCGCAUUAGCUAGUUGGUGGGGUAAUGGCUCACCAAGGCGACGAUGCGUAGCCGACCUGAGAGGGUGAUCGGCCACACUGGGACUGAGACACGGCCCAGACUCCUACGGGAGGCAGCAGUAGGGAAUCUUCCGCAAUGGACGAAAGUCUGACGGAGCAACGCCGCGUGAGUGAUGAAGGUUUUCGGAUCGUAAAGCUCUGUUGUUAGGGAAGAACAAGUGCGAGAGUAACUGCUCGCACCUUGACGGUACCUAACCAGAAAGCCACGGCUAACUACGUGCCAGCAGCCGCGGUAAUACGUAGGUGGCAAGCGUUGUCCGGAAUUAUUGGGCGUAAAGGGCUCGCAGGCGGUUUCUUAAGUCUGAUGUGAAAGCCCCCGGCUCAACCGGGGAGGGUCAUUGGAAACUGGGAAACUUGAGUGCAGAAGAGGAGAGUGGAAUUCCACGUGUAGCGGUGAAAUGCGUAGAGAUGUGGAGGAACACCAGUGGCGAAGGCGACUCUCUGGUCUGU
This 694-nucleotide ribosomal RNA is filed under the name Bacillaceae bacterium GUDS1152. Its description in RNAcentral is "bacterial SSU rRNA". It matches the Rfam family "Bacterial small subunit ribosomal RNA", at positions 60 to 737 of the family's 1533-position model. Lineage: Bacteria; Bacillati; Bacillota; Bacilli; Caryophanales; Bacillaceae. The record is from RNAcentral.